GAUUAGAGUUUGAUCCUGGCUCAGAAUCAACGCUGGCGGCGUGCCUAACACAUGCAAGUCGAACGCGAAAGUGGAGCAAUCCAUGAGUAGAGUGGCAAACGGGUGAGUAACACGUGGGUGACCUGCCUUCGAGUGGGGGAUAACGUCCCGAAAGGGACGCUAAUACCGCAUAACAUGCUGUCUUUUAAGAGAGAGACAUCAAAGCCGGGGACCGCAAGGCCUGGCGCUUGAAGAGGGGCCCGCGCCUGAUUAGCUAGUUGGUGGGGUAAUGGCUCACCAAGGCAACGAUCAGUAUCCGGCCUGAGAGGGCGGACGGACACACUGGGACUGAGACACGGCCCAGACUCCUACGGGAGGCAGCAGUGGGGAAUUGUUCGCAAUGGGCGCAAGCCUGACGACGCAACGCCGCGUGGAGGAUGAAGAUCUUCGGGUCGUAAACUCCUUUCGAUCGAGACGAAUGGCCAUCGGGCUAACAUCCUGAUGGAGUGACGGUACCGAGAGAAGAAGCCCCGGCUAACUCCGUGCCAGCAGCCGCGGUAAAUACCGGGGGGGGCAAGCGUUGUUCGGAAUUACUGGGGCGUAAAGGGGCUCGUUAAGGCG
This 600-nucleotide ribosomal RNA is filed under the name uncultured bacterium. RNAcentral describes it as "bacterial SSU rRNA". It matches the Rfam family "Bacterial small subunit ribosomal RNA", at positions 1 to 577 of the family's 1533-position model. The record is from RNAcentral.